GACGAACGCUGGCGGCGUGCUUAACACAUGCAAGUCGAACGGAAAGGCCCUGCUUUUGUGGGGUGCUCGAGUGGCGAACGGGUGAGUAACACGUGAGUAACCUGCCCUUGACUUUGGGAUAACUUCAGGAAACUGGGGCUAAUACCGGAUAGGAGCUCCUGCUGCAUGGUGGGGGUUGGAAAGUUUCGGCGGUUGGGGAUGGACUCGCGGCUUAUCAGCUUGUUGGUGGGGUAGUGGCUUACCAAGGCUUUGACGGGUAGCCGGCCUGAGAGGGUGACCGGCCACAUUGGGACUGAGAUACGGCCCAGACUGCUACGGGAGGCAGCAGUGGGGAAUAUUGCACAAUGGGCGGAAGCCUGAUGCAGCAACGCCGCGUGCGGGAUGACGGCCUUCGGGUUGUAAACCGCUUUCGCCUGUGACGAAGCGUGAGUGACGGUAAUGGGUAAAGAAGCACCGGCUAACUACGG
This 467-nucleotide ribosomal RNA is filed under the name uncultured bacterium. RNAcentral's name for it is "partial 16S ribosomal RNA". It matches the Rfam family "Bacterial small subunit ribosomal RNA", at positions 28 to 506 of the family's 1533-position model. The record is from RNAcentral.